UGCUGCUACCGCUAGCUGUUCCUCAAACUACUUAAAAAGUGUGACACUGUGUGCACAGGCGUUCAAGUUUCAAUUGAUCCUCAAGCACAAAGCCUUCAUACAAUACCGCGGUUGAGGCGCGACAAAUCUGAUGACCCUACGGACAAAGAGCGGGUAAUUUUUAUCAUGGUUAGCGUAAAAACCUAGAAUCAAGCCGAUGGAAGAUUUCGUAGGCUUAAAAAAGGGGAGAGAAUCGGUACCACGGUUCUCUCCCACUCCCAUAUAAAAUACACGGUGCGUUCUCUAGGUUUCCGAGGCUUCUUUUAAAAGUAUUCUCGGAAACCGAGAAAGAACCUCGGAAACCGAGAGAGCGCACCGUGUGUUUCAUAUGGGAGCGGGAGAGAACCGUGGUACCCGUUCCCGCCCCCUUUUUUAAGCCUACGAAAUCUUCCAUCGGCUUGAUUCUAGGUUUUUACGCACACCAUGAUAAAAAUUACCCGCUCUUUGUCCGUAGGGCAGGCUUCCAAGCACCGUGUGUGUGUGUAUGUAAGUAUGUGAGAACACAUGUGUGAAUCCUCUUGUGGGAACUGCAAAAAGAAGAGAAUAAAGAGUGUGAAGCAGCUAGACAGCCCUACUAGCAAUGAGAAUGAAAAAGUGUGCGACUUUCAGGCGAGGGGCACGUAGAAACAUGGGGAGACGGUUGGAAAUACGCGGAAUCACGCGGAGACGCGAGCGUGUUUUGGUUUCUACACAGUUUUUGCACUCAAACAAUUACACAUGUGUGAAUGUGUGCGUUCACUUUCAGCCUGCGCGCUCAGUUUGGUUUUCUCGCAGCGGCAUGCGGGUAUCGGUGUCUCGCUGGCACUAGUGCAGCGAGUGUUCCUCUGUGCGCUCCCUUUCUUGCCACCACACGAAAUCGUCAGUUCAGCUCAAGCGUUUGCCUAAGUCCCGGGCGAUCGAAUUUUCGCUAAGUGUUGAAGUGUUGUGCACUUUGAAAUGAAGCUGCGCUUUUCUUUCACCAUUUAACUUAAAUGUGUGAUUUGCGCUGCUUUAUUUCAAUGUUUUUUUUGCUGUAUUGAACAUCAACAACGGGAUCCACGCAGUUAGACGUGAAUUAGAAAUACGACGAUUUUUUUUU
Anopheles gambiae (African malaria mosquito) is the source of this 1117-nucleotide long non-coding RNA. RefSeq lists it as uncharacterized. Lineage: Eukaryota; Metazoa; Arthropoda; Insecta; Diptera; Culicidae. The transcript is spliced from 2 exons. The record is from RefSeq and is a predicted model, not a curated record.